Molecule: small RNA, 126 nt
Filed under: Cervus elaphus hippelaphus
Lineage: Eukaryota; Metazoa; Chordata; Mammalia; Artiodactyla; Cervidae
Source: RNAcentral
GGAGGACUGCUUAAGCCCCGGAGUUCUGGGCUGCAGCACGCUAUGUGGAUCGGGUGUCCACACCAAGUCCGUCAUCAAUAUGGUGACCUCCCAGGAGCCGGGGACCACCAGGUUGCUUAAGGAAGG